Non-coding RNA from Schistosoma haematobium, 45 nucleotides. The record is from Rfam. NCBI's taxonomy places the organism in Eukaryota, Metazoa, Platyhelminthes, Trematoda, Strigeidida, Schistosomatidae.
AUUCAGCUGAUGAGUCGUAAAUAGGACGAAACGCGCGUCUUGAAU